UACACAUGGACCACAUGUAAGACUAGUCAGUUUCUCAUUUUCCUUUAAAGAAUCCUAAGUUGAAGGAGUAGCUUAUAGUCUGAACUCUGAAUUCAUCAAAAGCAAACCCCAAAAUCUCUUAUUCAUUCCUAUUCUUUCUUCCUAUUCUUCUGCUAUGCUGAAUCUUGCUCUCCGCCACACUCUUUCUCCCUAUUAUUGCAAGCAACCAAAGUCCAAACACUCCUUUAUUAUCGACGGCUUUGUUGAUGAACUACUGUGAUUUUCUUGAUUAACUUGUGCCGGAACAUUCUGUUUCUCAUGCCGAACCUACAUAACCCGAAGAUGAACUUCCUCCCCUUCCCCCUCUCCCUGCUAGGACAAAAAGACAAGUUAAUCCUAGUGGAACUAGGAAAACUUCAUCGGUUUGGUUAGACUUUAACAUUUUACCGGAUGAACCUAAAUAAAUAGACGCGUGGAAACAUUGCCGCAAGAGAUACCGGUGCAUCUAACCUUUUACAGAAGGUUCCCCAUACAAAGAAACCACACAAAGAAACCUUGUAAGCGGUGAGAGUGGUUUUUUAGUUUCAAUAAGCCAAAGGUUUAAUGCACAAUCAUGUAAGAAGGCUAUUACUUUGUUUUGCUUCUAACCACAUUGUUGGACUUCAAUUCAAAAAUUUAGUUACAUGACCCACUUCAUUGACAAUGAAUGGAACUAUCGUAAAAAGAUUAUCAGUUUUAGUUUAGUUCCUAAUCACAAGGGUGACACCAUUGGUAAAAGAAUGGAAGAUGUUUGGAAGGAAUGGGGGCUUAGGAAAGUAUCAACAAUUACCCUUGACAACACAAUAUGUAAUGAUGUGGCUGUUUCUUACUUGGGUAAAAGACUUAAGAGCAAGAAUGCUUUAAUUGGUGUAGAGAGAUGAGUUGUCUAUUGAAAGUGUUCGCAAUGUUGUUAGGUUUGUGAGGUCCUCACCACAAAGAGCUUAAAAGUUUAAGGAGUGUAUAGAAAUUGUAGGAAUAACAUGUAAAAGAAAACUUGGCCUUGAUGUUUCCACACGGUGGAAUUCCACCUACAUGAUGUUGGACGCCGCUGAGAAGUUCCAAGCAGCAUUUGAAUGGCUUUUAUGAUUUUUUUGAAAACAUUCUAUGCACCAACCAAGUUGUGCAAGCCUCAAGAAGCGUCCUUGGACAUGAAUACAUAUGUGACUCCAAUGGUUUCAAAUAUGAGGACCAAAUAUGAUAAAUAUUAAAUAUGAGGACCAGACAUGAUAAAUAUUGGGGAUGUUGUAAAAGUGAAUCAUUUUCUCUAUUUUGGAGUUAUCUUUGACCAUAGGUUUAAGUUUGAUUAUGUUCAAUGAUCUUUCAAUGACAUGUAUGGGGAUGGUAGUGAACUUGCUAAGAAAAAUGUUAAGUGUGUCAAAAAAAGUUGAUUCAAACUGUACAAUUGGUAUAAAUCUAAGCAUAAUAAGAUUGUUGAGUUGCCCUCUUAGAUGCAUCAUGCGGUAGCACUUCCCUCAGAGAAACAUGUAGCCAAACUAGAAAAUCAUCACUUUUUACAAGGACUGAUGCUUUUAAAUAAUACUUGAAGGAGAAAGACACCGUUACUAAUCAAAAUGAACCAGAGAAGUAUUUAGGUGACCCAUGUUGGGGAGAUGCUGAAAGUUUUAACUUUAUAAAAUGGUGGAAGGAGGAUUCCACCUAUUAUCCCAUAUUGGCUACUUUGGUUAGGGAUGUUUUGGCAACACCUGUUUCAAGCGUAGCAUCCGAAAAUGCUUUUUUAGUACUAUGGGAGAGUUUUAGACGUGUAUUGGAGUUCUUUAAGUCCGGCAAUAGCCGAGGCGCUUAUUUGUUCUCAAAAUUGGUUGAUGCCUUCUGACGAGAACGACUUAAAUGUCCUUGAUAUGCUUGAAGAACAUGGCAUAACUGAUUCAAUAUGUUCAGUUUCAUGUAGGUGUUACCAUUGAUUGGAGCAACUGCUCCAGAGUAGGCUGUGGGCCUGUUUAAAUCUCCUUUAGCCACUUUUUGAAUUUUUUGAAGUCUUCAAUAACUCAUAAUAUUUAAACCACUAUAAUUAGUAAGUUAGUUUUGAAGCCACGACUCGUAGCAUUUUGGGCAGCCACUUCUGGUUUCAUAGUAAUUUAGUGUCAGAAGUUUGUUUUGGGUAAGGAAUCAAUGUUACAAUUGCUUCACAUGUGAUUCUGUUUUUAUCAUAACACAUAUUUAUUUGUAAUUAUGUUUCUGGUUUCUGUUAAAGCAGCUACUGGAUGGCAAAGUAAGAUUUGGUAGAAUUUGGUAGAACUUAGUUUCUGGUUUCUGUCAAAACAGGUACUGGAUGGCAAAGCAAGAUUUGUAAUAUCACCCUUUUAGUCUUUCAUAAUUUUAGUUAACUAAAUCAAGACUAUUUAUUAGUUUUUAUAUGAUUUGGAUGCUGGAUUAAGGAAGAUUCUGUCACAAAGCAAGAUUCUGUCAAAGCCGCAUAAGGUUGUGGUUGAGAUUAUUGAUGAAACAACUUGGAAUUCUCUUACUGUAACAACAACUAUGAUGCUCCAUGAUCCCAAACUUACAACAACUAUGCUGCUCCACCAACUAUACAGAACAACAGGAUCGAUUUUCAGGAGAGACGUUGUUGAAUUUGGUGCCCGAACUUGCUUGCCUUGUUUGGUUGCUGCAAAAGUUGGUGCCAAUGCCACUUCUACUGAUGACUCCAGCAGAUUAGAGUGGCUGUAAAUGGAAUCGUUGAGUAAUGCUGAGAUUACUACUGGCUAGAAAUAGAAUCACAUGAUUAUGCUUUGCAUAUUGGCUGGAAAUUGAGGACCAGAGGAAGAGACAGUACAGUAGCCGACAGGACCGUAGACAGAGCAGCAGCGACUCGUGCUAGAGAUGAGGAGGCACAGGCUUCAGAUCUUAGAGCUGGACGCUGUCCUCCGACCAGUUCUUAUCGGAAACAGUUGGUGGAGCAGGCGAUGCAGUUCCGCCCACCACGUCGUUAGAGACACACAUCUACCCAGGAGCUUGUUGUUGAGGAGCUUGUAGUUGAGUAGUUGGUGGAGGCUUAGCCUGAGGAGGUUGUUGUUACUGAGUAUGUGGAUGAGGUGUCUCCGACCGAUACAGACACCACUGCCAGGGCGUCUACUGAUCCAUCAGUGCACACUGAUGGAAGGUUUCCUGGAGGACCUAAAGACGUGUCCAUGCUCAUAAGAUAUGUUGACCAUAUCGCUCACCGAAUAUGGCAGGGAAUAUAUAUAUAUAUAUAUAUAUAUAUAUUUGUAACUAUUUAAUAAUUAAUAUUUUACUUUAUGCUACUUUACGGUAGUUUGUUUAUAAUAUUUUAAUUUUGCCUAUUACAGGAGCGAGGAGCGCUGAGGAUCGCUUCACAAGGGUCGAAGCUGAAGAACUUCCCGAGGGAUCCUAUGCCUGAGGGGGUUAGUCGUAUUGUUAGAUUCUUUCGCUUGCUGGAGUUUUCUCAGUGCUUCCUUACCAUGUUGGAUGCCUCUCUGAUGUCUGCUUUUGUUGAGAGGUGGCACCCAGAGACAUCAUCCUUUCACCUUCCAUUCGGGGAGAUGACGGUGACACUGGAUGAUGUAGAUGCUCUCCUCCACAUCCCCAUUGUUGGUACGUUCUUCACACCUCCUUACAUUAACCAAGCGACAGCGUUGCGCUUGGCUAUGGAGGACUUAGAGGUAUCUCAGGGGACGGUGUAUGAUGAGUUCUCGAAUAACCGUGGUUUACAUCUUCGGAUGUCUUGGCUCAGGGAUAGAUACCAUGAGCAUGUAGCUGCUCAGACGUAUCAGGCUACCGCUAGGGCGUACAUGCCACAUCUUAUGGCAUGUACUCUUUUUAAGGACAAGUUUGGUAACUAUAUUGAUGUGCAGUACUUGUGUGUGUUCAGCUCCUUAAACACUCCCACUUGGGCGUGGGGACUGGCAACUUUUACCAUGCUGUGGCAGGCCAUUCCCGGAGGUGUGGCUGAGUAUAGGCGGAGGCUCAACACACUGAUUGUGGACGAUGUGGUAUGGACACCGUAUGCAUCUCACCGCCCUCGUCAAAUUUAAUGUUAAUUGAUGUAGUACCAUGUUUACUCAAUAAUUUGUGUGUUCUCUGUUACUUUGGUCAAAUACUUUCAAAACUCACCCCUUCGUGUUUGUGUUUGUCGUGUUUGGCCUUGUGUUUACAAAAUCGUAGUAAAUAUAAGUUGGGAGAAUACUGUUAGAACAAGAUUUGUUCUGAUCAAUUAUCUUAGUUUUGAUGAUAACAAUAAUAUGAAUUUUGCUUAAGAUAAUAUGGUACUCUAAUCCAAUGCAAUUUCCUUUUCAGGAAAUAUAUAAAGAGUAUGCAUAAUUCAGCGCUCAGAAGCUUUGUCUCAAAGGGUUCAGCAUGCAACAUCAGAACAUGAUCUGGCAAGA
This is a long non-coding RNA of Vicia villosa (hairy vetch), 4379 nucleotides long. RefSeq lists it as uncharacterized. The transcript has 8 exons. The record is from RefSeq and is a predicted model, not a curated record. NCBI's taxonomy places the organism in Eukaryota, Viridiplantae, Streptophyta, Magnoliopsida, Fabales, Fabaceae.